UAAUGUCUAUCUAAAAUUUAUCUUUGAAUUCAUGCAUCUACACAUGUCACCGCUGUAAAGCAAAAAGGAUCAUCUGAAGUUAAAGCUUCAAGCGGCCGAUGAUCAUAGGAAGGGUGGGCAAAGUUCAAUCACAAAACCACCAGUGAUUGCGAGCAUAGAAAUGCAGCUUGCAUUAUCAGCGUAUGAAAUUCUAUCUUUCUUUUCUAUCUUUGAUUCUUUUUAUUCUCUCUCUUGUCGCAUGGACGCUCAAUUUUAAUAAUAGAAUAAUGAGAAAAGCAGGCAGGUCGAUGAACAAAAAAAUAGUUGUGGUAACUGGGUUUCGGCAGAACUACACCCCCUUGUCGACGAUCUAGUGCCGGAAAUCUACAGCGUGCCAGCCGAUAUCCAGCUGCUACAUGACCAGACUAUACGUUACCCGUUAAACGGAUUAAAUAAGAGUCCUCUUUCGUGAUAUGGAAAAGUCAAAAGUUUUGUUUUCAAAAAUGCAAUUAAAGUAUUCUUUCAUUUAAUAGCAUAGCUCGCAAAUAACAAUUGAGUGUUUUGCGACGUCUUAAAAUAAGUCUGGGUAUAUGAAAAGAAUACUCGCGAGCAGAAUAUUGAUAAUCCCUUCGUUUAUCUCACACGCGCUCGGACAACAAUCAUUUUUUUUCGUUUUAUUUUCGUCUCACUUAGACCGCGAGUAUUUGCAUGAGUGAAAUGAAGCAAAACGUCUUUAAGCGAGUAAUGCCUAUAAAAUUGCGACGCAAUAACAUUUCUUUGCAUUCUACUGCCUAAUGUGUUGCAUAAAUUCUUUAAAUUUAAUCCGGAAGAAAAUAAAUCGAUAUGUAAUGUUUGUAGUUCGAAAUUGGCUGGAGUUAAUAUCACAAAUUUUAAACGACAUUUGACAAUGAAACAUGCGGAAAUAUGCAAUGAGCGGAACAAUGCAUAAUUCGUUCGAGUCGAUCAAAAACUAAAAUCGUUGUUAAAACUCUGGGGAUGAUUCAGCUAGCGGAUGCACAUACUGGAAUGUACAUGAAAUAAUAUUAUCUCAAAUCUUCUGCAUAACAUCUGAUAAUGCCAAAAAUAUGAUUAAAGCCGUUCAAGUUUUAAACGAAUACACGGAGGAGUCUCUUUUUGUCCGAUGACACGAAAGCUGAAAAUAUCAUGCAAAAAUUAGAUUGCAUUGAUUAAGAUAACAUUAACCUCCUUAGGUGAAGGCGAUUGGGGAUAAAAUUAGUUACUGUCGUACGUUGUGCAAAUCACUCCGCACGGAAAUAAAUAGGCACAUUCAACAGAAAAUGUUCCAGAAACUGUCACUCAUGAAUAGGAAGAUAUCUUUGACGCCUCAUUAUCUUCAAAUUCAUUAAAUUUAUCUUCAGCUGGAGAGAGUUCGCUGUUUUCGGCCUAUUUAGACGAAGUACAGACAGUGUCGGAAUUCAAAAACCCUGUAUCGGAAAAACUUACAAAGAUUUAUGGUGACGAUUUCUACAAUGAAGUGAAGCUCAAAUUGUAACAUUUAACUGCGCUCGCACAAGUAGUGCUGGCUACACCAGCAACGCAAUUGUCAGUAGAACGGGCAUUUUGAGCCCUGCAUUUCAUACUGAGUGAACGUCGGAGCGUAAUAGGAGCAGACAAUUUAAACUCUCUGUUAUUAAUUAAGCUAAACAUUUUGUCUAAGUGGCCCUUACAUAAAGGCAACUGAACAACAGGGAUCCGUGUUCGAAUCCCAGGCUAGUGCAUGGAUGUGGUUAUCGUAUAAGCCGAUGGUCGUAGUAUCAAGUGCUUGUAUAAAUUGUUGGUUGAUAGUUUACAACUACAUAUACAUGUAAAGACGAGAUGGGCACACUGAUCUGAGAUUGCCCCUAUUUUGAUGAGGCGUGUAGCAGCGGAGAGUGAGAGGCAUCUAAGAGAGGGAGUCGAAGGCCAGUCGUCGUCGAGAACGGGCAAGAUAUAAGCGGGUUACGAGAGCGUUCGGCAGUUAUGAAAUCAAUUAUUAUUCUCAAAGAAAUAUACAUAUGUACUACACCUCAAUUUAAACAUUUCAGUUAAUAUUAUAUACAAUAAACUAUUACAAAUAUAA
This is a long non-coding RNA of Drosophila willistoni, 2059 nucleotides long. RefSeq lists it as uncharacterized. The transcript is spliced from 4 exons. The record is from RefSeq and is a predicted model, not a curated record. Lineage: Eukaryota; Metazoa; Arthropoda; Insecta; Diptera; Drosophilidae.